UUUUGUAUAAUCUGGUGCAUUUUUCACCUUUUGACCCACCUUAAUCCGGUUUUGCUGACGGUGGUUUUGGGGCGAAUAGCGCUACGUGGGAUGCUAGCGUGGCAGAUGGAAUCAAAGCCCACUUAACCCCCUCCCUUGAGUCGGCCCAGGCCAUCUCCCUUGCGACUCUCCAUCGUGUUCCUCGUCGUCUCUGUCUUCCUCGCGUCGCUUCCUCUAGUCCUCCCGGUGGAUCGAGCAAGGCGAUGAUCGCAGGCCACACAACUUGACCGGCGACCAUUACUUGAAGCAGGGACAUGGACCCACGAGAUUUCAUUGCUGUUAGGUUUCAUUUUGGGGGAAUAUUUGAUUUCGAUGGGAGUGUUGUGGGGGAGUUGAGGUAUCACACAUCGAGAGGGAUAAGGUAUCCUUGCCAGAACUGAGAGGGUUUUUGUGUGAUCAUGUUGCACUAACUGUCGAAGAUAAUGUUGAAUUUCACUGGUUAUUCCCUGGAGAUGAGCUGAGUAGUGGAUUGAGGAGGCUUGUAGAUGAUAAAGCCUGCCUCUACAUGUCUGAUUGCAUAUCAGAGGAUGGAGUAGCUGAAAUAUAUGUAGAGACAUUUAGACUUAAUGGAGGUGAUGGAGAGGUUCAGGGAGGGAGUCAAGGAAGGACUGUCCAAGAUCAGACUAGAAGGGACAUUGAGAAAGUCAGAGCAUUUUACAGUUCAUCUACAAAAGAGAAUGAGAAGAGAUUGUCCUUUUACUCCCCUCCUUCUGAAGAUGAUAAAGAUGGAGAAGGUGAAAUCCAUCAUGGAAGCUUCAAAAUAUCAAGGAGAUUGUGUUGCUUGAGAUGGGGGCAGAUGUGUCACUGUCCAAGAUAAAGAGAGCAAAAGCUAUUGCCAUGAGAAGGAUAUAUGACUCAUGCAAAGGAGAGUAUGCAAAGAUAUUUGGUUACCAAGCUGAAAUUCUUAGAAGCAACCCUGGGAGCACAUGUGCAGUAUGUUUAGAUGCUGACUUUGACUUCCCUGUAUUCCAAAGGUUUUAUGUAUGCUUUGAUGCUUGCAAAAAGGGAUUCCUAGCUGGUUGUAGGAGACUCAUUGGAGUUGAUGGGUGCUUCUUCAAGGGGCCUGCAAUGGUGAGCUUAUCUGUGCUCUAGGAAGGGAUGCCAACAAUCAGAUUUAUCCAAUAGCAUGGGCAGUAGUGGAGAAAGAAACUGAGAACUCUUGGUCUUGGUUCUUGGGACUUUUACAAAGGAUCUUCAGAUUCUAUUAGGUGGCAAGGACUGGGUUAUAAUAUCUGACCAGCAAAAGGGUCUUCUCAAUGCUCUUGCAAAAUUAUUCCCACAAAUUGAGCAUAGAAUGUGUACAAGACACAUUUAUGCCAAUUGGAGAAAGAAGCAUAGGGAUGAUGACUUUCAGAAACCCUUUUGGAUGUGUGCAAAGGCGUCAAGUGUGCCAUUUUUCAACUUUUGCAAUGCAAAGCUAGCCCAAUUAACUCCAACUGGUGCCAAGGACAUGAUGAACACUAACCCCAAGCAUUGGAGCAGAGCUUGGUUCAACCUUGGGUCAAACUGUGAUAGUGUAGAUAACAAUAUGUGUGAAAGUUUCAACAAUUGGAUAGUAGAUGUGAGUAUUAGAUAUGUAUAACCUGCGUGUAUAGUUUCCAUACAUACAUGAUUGUAUUGCUUGUACUCCAAGCCACAUUGGCUAUAUAUAUAUGAGGUCGCCCCCCC
This is a long non-coding RNA of Panicum hallii, 1707 nucleotides long. RefSeq lists it as uncharacterized. NCBI's taxonomy places the organism in Eukaryota, Viridiplantae, Streptophyta, Magnoliopsida, Poales, Poaceae. The record is from RefSeq and is a predicted model, not a curated record. The transcript has 3 exons.